This 389-nucleotide long non-coding RNA is filed under the name Mytilus galloprovincialis (Mediterranean mussel). Lineage: Eukaryota; Metazoa; Mollusca; Bivalvia; Mytilida; Mytilidae. The record is from RNAcentral.
UAGUAAAAGUAAAUAGAAAUCUAUGAAAUUUAAACACAAGGUUUAUGACCAUAAAAGGAAGGUUGUGAUUGAUUUUGGGUGUUUUGGUCCCAACAGUUUAGGAAUUAGGGGCCAAAAAGGGCCCAAAUAGGCAUUUUUCUUGGUUUUCGCACAAUAGAUUUAGUAUAAGUAAACAGAAAUCUAUGAAAUUUUAAUAUAAGGUCUAUGACCACAAAAGGAAGGUUGGGAUUGAUUUUGGGAGUUUAAGUCCCAACAGUUUAGGAAUUAGGGGCCAAAAACAGGUCCCAAAUAAGCAUUUUUCUUGGUUUUUGUCGAGCCUUCGACUUUAGUCGAAAAAGCAAGACUAAGCGAUCCUACAUUCCGUCGUCGUCGGUGUCGUCGGCGGCGUC